CUCACCCUGCGCUGUAAGUCACAUGGAUCAUGUCAGCCAGGCGAAGGUUGAAUGGCUCUUGACAGACAAAUGAACGAUGACCAAGUCAAUUUCAUAUGCUUUAAAAAAUAUAUAUAACUGGAAUAAAGGUCAGUUCAGGAGUGUAUACCUGAUGUGCAUUGUUUUAUUUAUCAGGGGUUUAUAGCCUAAAGCUACCUGGGGAAUAGUUGAGUACACGGAGGUCCGGCUCCUCCUCUGCCAGCACACGGAACAUCAUGUCUCGGGCUGCCUUGCCUGUGCAGUAUAGCACCCAGGAGGGGAGGGGCUGCAGAGCACACAGCGAGCUCACGUUGACUACACAGCGCCGCAGCCCCUGUCGUCGUGGGAACACCUGCAGCAGGCCGGCUGUCAGGCUGAGGGCGGAGCUUACGUUGAGUGACAGGUAGGAGUCCACCUCCGCCAUGUUGGUGAAACUCUGGGCGUAGCGCGACACGUCUCCCAGAGAGGCUGGAGGGGGAGGGGAAUGGGAAGAUGUCAGAUUAUACAACGGUUGAAUUAUAUCACUUAAUUGCAGUGUGUGGACUAGGCCUACUAGGCUGUAUAGACCGACUAUAUUGUAAUUUUUGGGAGAUUUGAUGAGCACAAUCAAAUACAAUUAGAUUUGAUUAAUAAAUAAAUGAGUAUCUAAAGAUGUAUACAUCAUGAGACCUAAUUUGAAAAUCUGUAAACUGAACACUUUGUUGGAUAAUUGUCAUACUUAGUAGACGUAUGGAAGUCAAGCAAGCAGGAAGGCAGUAACAGGUCUACGACAACACAACGAAUUACCAACCCUGCCCUGCCCGCAUCCGACGAAGCCAAAUUUGCCUGGAGUUCCCGCAAUUUCUCAUCGGAGCGAGCCGCCAAAACAAGCACCGACCUCGGUUUGAGCAACAGGGAAAUCUCUUUCGCUAUGGUUCGGCCAAAUCCUUUGGACGCCCCGGUGAUGAUGCACAGCGCUCUCCCUAGGUCCUUCGCGUCUGGUAAAAUUACGUUGGAGAUACCAUUGGCCUGCAUUUUGGUGAAAUGCGAGCGGAGAGCUACAGCUUUUACUUAUAAAGGCUGGCAGAGUUUUGUAAAGAACCGUUUAAAAUUAUUUUUUCAAAUCGAUUAGAUUGAGAAACGGAUAUGGAUGCCAAAAAAUAAACAUGAAAAAUGUGCACGCCUCUUAUCCCGCCCACUUUAUGGUGUUCAAGCAAAUUCGCGAUUUUAGUUUGUAAAAUUAAUAUGCAAAUGUUUUAUUAUAUGCCUAGAUGUGGGCUGUCCUGGCCAAAAUGUGUUCUUAUCAAUGAUGUAUCUUAUUGUAGCGAUGUCCGCGAUAUCGCUACAUUAUUAAAGAAAAUGAAAAUAUAAGAUAAGACAACAGAGGUAAAGACAGUUUCAAGUUGGAUAUUCGACGGAUAUUCGCGCUUUCAAACCUCAAUAGCCACUUGAGCCACAGACUCCAAAUAAGUGUCAUGAUGUUGGAAAAAUUGCGCACAACUUUGCAUAGGUCUUAUUUUCACGAUUUGGAUAUUAAUUCGUUUCUCAAAGCUAAUAAACAUGUGUAAAUGUGAGCAGCAUUUUGUAUUCCUAGUUGAAUUAGUUAGGGAGCGUAAACAAAGUACAAACUUUUUUACAUUCAAAUUUCAAUAGGUCAUUGGUCAUGUGACCUAGUGACUUCAAACAAGGUUCAGAAUGUCCACUGACUACCCUUCUAUAUUGCACACCCUUUAGUUAGUCCAUUUUCAUCUCACAGGAUUUUACAUGAAUUUUUCCAAACGUAAAGUUUCAAUAGCUCAUUGGUCGUGGGACCUAGUGACUUCAAACAAGGUUCAGAAUGUCCAUUGAGUGGGCCUUCAUAUUACACACCCUUUAGUUUGUCCAUUUUCAUCUCACAUGGUUUUACAUACAUUUUUCAAAAAUGUAGAAUUUCAAUAGCUCCUUGGUCAUUUGACCUAGUGACUUCAAACAAGGUUCAGAAUGUCCAACGACUACCCUUCUAUAUUGCACACCCUUUAGUUUGUCCAUUUUCAUCUCACAUGGUUUUACAACAAAAAAAUCUACAUUUAGAAUUUCAAUAGCUCCUUGUUCAUGUGACCUGGUGACUUCCAACAAGUUUCAGAAUGUCCACUCAGUGGGCCUACACAUUGCACACCCUUUAAUUUGUCAAUUUUCAUCUCACAUGGUUUUACAUGAAUUUUUCAAAAUGUCAAAUUUCAAUAGCUCCUUGGUCAUGUGACCUAAUGUCCGCUGACUACCCUUCUAUAUUGCAAACUCUUGUUUGUUUACUGUAAAAUCACGCGCUGUAACGUACAUUUUUCAUAGUUUCACAUUUGCAAUAGUUCCUUGGUCAUGUCAAUUACACACCUAAGAAGCAUGCAGUGGAUAUACACCCAUAUUGCAUAACCUCUAGUUAUGUCUCUUCUAUAUUGUUGUACAUUAUUAUUAGUUUGACAAUUACGGGGUUCAGUCCAGUGUUGUGUUUACCCUUUUCUUUAAUAUUUAUCUAUAAUAAUUGGUAGUUCUAAGUACUUAUUUUCCAUGUUUUUUCCACAGUAUUUAACAGUGGUACGCAAUAGGAGAGAGACAGAUAAUAUCUCCUUUCGUCGUUAAUAUCAACCAUAAAGGAAAAGGGCAAAGUAUGAGAGUCAUGCUAUUUGAUUUGAUUUGAUUCUCUUUUGGACUAAUCUUCCGAAAGUCCUUAAACAUUCAAAUACAAUUUAUAAUACGAACACAUUUUCACAUAUAACACACUAUUACAAACAUACAUAAUAUACUGACAUAGUGACCCAAUAAAUACUCAAUGUAAAAAAUAUUGAUUCUUCAUCUACUCUAGUCCCACAACAUUUCUAUGUAGUAUAUUUAAAUCGUUUUAAAAUAAUGUUUAAAUUUAUGUAUUGAAACGUUUCUGGUUUGCUAAGUUAAUUUAUUCCAUUUCUUUAUUGCUCUAAAUCGAAAUGUUAUUUUGCCUAUUUCUCUUUUCUGUCUAGAUAACGCAUAGAUGUUGGACAAUCUAUUGUUACUAUUUACGAAAUGUCUGUCUCUUAACAACUGAAUACUGUUGUGAAAAGAACUUGGCCGUUUUAAAUUAUGUAUAUUAUGAAAUAAAAUAAGCAUGUUUUUUUUCAA
Molecule: long non-coding RNA, 3126 nt
Organism: Salvelinus fontinalis (brook trout)
Lineage: Eukaryota; Metazoa; Chordata; Actinopteri; Salmoniformes; Salmonidae
Exons: 2
Source: RefSeq, a predicted model, not a curated record